AUUGCUUUUUGGUCUCUUGGCCUAGAUCAAGUGUAGUUCCUGUUUUUAUCAGCUGUAAUAUGUGAUAUGUUCUCCUUUGGAGACUAUGUACUGAGCACAUUUUUGGUCCUGGGAGGUGAAAUAGGAGCUUGCUUCAUCCACUCUAUGCAUUGGCCUGGUAUUGCAGUGUUUCUAGGAGUGGUGCACUCCUC
Molecule: small nuclear RNA, 191 nt
Organism: Alligator mississippiensis (American alligator)
Lineage: Eukaryota; Metazoa; Chordata; Crocodylia; Alligatoridae
Rfam family: U2 spliceosomal RNA
About the family: U2 is a small nuclear RNA (snRNA) component of the spliceosome (involved in pre-mRNA splicing). Complementary binding between U2 snRNA (in an area lying towards the 5' end but 3' to hairpin I) and the branchpoint sequence (BPS) of the intron results the bulging out of an unpaired adenosine, on the BPS, which initiates a nucleophilic attack at the intronic 5' splice site, thus starting the first of two transesterification reactions that mediate splicing.
Source: Rfam